Molecule: ribosomal RNA, 253 nt
Filed under: uncultured bacterium
Lineage: Bacteria
Description: partial 16S ribosomal RNA
Rfam family: Bacterial small subunit ribosomal RNA
Source: RNAcentral
UACGUAGGGGCCUAGCGUUGUCCGGAAUCAUUGGGCGUAAAGAGCGCGUAGGCGGCCCGGUAAGUCCGCUGUAAAAGUCAAAGGCUCAACCUUUGAAUGUCAGUGGAUACUGCCGGGCUAGAGUCCGGAAGAGGCGAGUGGAAUUCCUGGUGUAGCGGUGGAAUGCGCAGAUAUCAGGAGGAACACCAACGGCGAAGGCAGCUCGCUAGGACGGUACUGACGCUGAGGAGCGAAAGCCAGGGGAGCAAACGGG